GAUCAUGGCUCAGGACGAACGCUGGCGGCGUGCCUAACACAUGCAAGUCGAACGGAGUCGGCCCCGCAAGGGACUGACUUAGUGGCGAACGGGUGAGUAACGCGUGAGCAACCUGCCUUUCAGUGGGGGACAACAGUUGGAAACGACUGCUAAUACCGCAUAAAGCAUUUUGACCGCAUGAUCGAGGUGCCAAAGAUUUAUUGCUGAAAGAUGGGCUCGCGUCUGAUUAGAUAGUUGG
RNAcentral lists this ribosomal RNA (238 nucleotides) under uncultured bacterium. RNAcentral describes it as "partial 16S ribosomal RNA". It matches the Rfam family "Bacterial small subunit ribosomal RNA", at positions 15 to 252 of the family's 1533-position model. The record is from RNAcentral.